Non-coding RNA from Camellia sinensis, 184 nucleotides. The record is from RefSeq and is a predicted model, not a curated record. NCBI's taxonomy places the organism in Eukaryota, Viridiplantae, Streptophyta, Magnoliopsida, Ericales, Theaceae.
CUAACAAAAUCCUGGACUACUUUAUUUUCGAUCAAACCCGAAGCACACUACUGGAUUGGCCAAAGCGCUUCCACAUUAUUAAUGGGAUUUCCCGAGGCCUUCUUUAUCUUCAUCAAGAUUCCAGGCUGAGAAUUAUUCACAGAGAUCUUAAAGCAAGCAAUAUUUUGCUAGAUAUUGACAUGAA